This 363-nucleotide long non-coding RNA is filed under the name Ananas comosus (pineapple). RNAcentral's name for it is "long non-coding RNA (ACOM_LNC041016)". Lineage: Eukaryota; Viridiplantae; Streptophyta; Magnoliopsida; Poales; Bromeliaceae. The record is from RNAcentral.
AGAUUUGAUCUACACUAUUCAAAGUAUUGGGAAACUAAAUUUCAUAAUUUUUUGACAUCAUUUACUUAUCAAACAAGUAGUCUAAAAAUAAACGGCUGAAAAUAAAAAUCUCAUAAAAAUGAUAAUAAAAGACUUGAAUUUAUGAUCAAAUGUACUAAUCAUACUCUAAAUAGUGAAAAAAAUUUUCUAUAAAAAUUUCAAUGGAUUUGGAUUGUUUUACACCGUUAAAUUCAUAAACGCAACACAUCUACCAUUAAAAUUGUCAAUUGAUGUUCGGUUCGCCACCACUUCAAUCACAAACCUCGGAACUACAUCAAUCACAAACUCGAUCUCUCUAUCCGGCGGCAUCGUCGUCAGCUCCGG